UACCAGCACCCCGAGUGGUCGGGACGAUUAUUGGGCCUAAAGCAUCCGUAGCCGGUUCUACAAGUCUUCCGUUAAAUCCACCUGCUCAACAGAUGGGCUGCGGAGGAUACUACAAGGCUAGGAGGCGGAAGAGGCAAGCGGUACUCAGUGGGUAGGGGUAAAAUCCUCUGAUCCAUUGAAGACCACCAGUGGCGAAGGCGGCUUGCCAAUACGCGCUCGACGGUGAGGGAUGAAAGCUGGGGGAGCAAACCGG
Molecule: ribosomal RNA, 253 nt
Filed under: uncultured bacterium
Lineage: Bacteria
Description: partial 16S ribosomal RNA
Rfam family: Archaeal small subunit ribosomal RNA
Source: RNAcentral